UACGGAGGGUGCGAGCGUUGUCCGGAUUUAUUGGGCGUAAAGAGCGUGUAGGCGGCCAGACAGGUCCGUUGUGAAAACUCGAGGCUCAACCUCGAGACGCCGAUGGAAACCGUCUGGCUAGAGUCCGGAAGAGGAGAGUGGAAUUCCUGGUGUAGCGGUGAAAUGCGCAGAUAUCAGGAAGAACACCCGUGGCUAAGGCGGCUCUCUAGUACGGUACUGACGCUGAGACGCGAAAGCGUGGGGAGCGAACAGG
RNAcentral lists this ribosomal RNA (253 nucleotides) under uncultured bacterium. Its description in RNAcentral is "partial 16S ribosomal RNA". It matches the Rfam family "Bacterial small subunit ribosomal RNA", at positions 524 to 776 of the family's 1533-position model. The record is from RNAcentral.